This 597-nucleotide ribosomal RNA is filed under the name Coris flavovittata (yellowstripe coris). RNAcentral's name for it is "partial 16S ribosomal RNA". It matches the Rfam family "Bacterial large subunit ribosomal RNA", at positions 1803 to 2609 of the family's 2925-position model. Lineage: Eukaryota; Metazoa; Chordata; Actinopteri; Labriformes; Labridae. The record is from RNAcentral.
UUUAUCAAAAACAUCGCCUCUUGCAAAAUCAACGAAUAAGAGGUCCCGCCUGCCCAGUGACUUUAAGUUUAACGGCCGCGGUAUUUUGACCGUGCAAAGGUAGCGCAAUCACUUGUCUUUUAAAUGGAGACCUGUAUGAAUGGCAUCACGAGGGCUUAACUGUCUCCUUUCUUAGGCCAAUGAAAUUGAUCUCCCCGUGCAGAAGCGGGGAUAAUAACAUAAGACGAGAAGACCCUAUGGAGCUUUAGACACUAAGGCAGUCUACGUCAAGAAACCUCUUACAAGAGGCCGAACUAGGUAGGCCCUGUCCUAUGUCUUCGGUUGGGGCGACCCCGGGGAGAUAAAGAACCCCCACGUGGAAUGAAAAUAUUUUUCAGAACUAAGAGCUACCGCUCUAAGAGCCAGAACUUCUGACCAUCAAGAUCCGGCAACGCCGAUCAACGGACCGAGUUACCCUAGGGAUAACAGCGCAAUCCCCUUCUAGAGUCCCUAUCGACAAGGGGGUUUACGACCUCGAUGUUGGAUCAGGACAUCCUAAUGGUGCAGCCGCUAUUAAGGGUUCGUUUGUUCAACGAUUAAAGUCCUACGUGAUCUGAG